UACGGAGGGUGCAAGCGUUAUCCGGAAUCACUGGGUUUAAAGGGUGCGUAGGUGGUUUAGUAAGUCAGAUGUGAAAGCCCGGCGCUCAACGUCGGAAUUGCAUUUGAUACUGCUGAACUUGAAUCAGGUUGAGGUGGGGCGGAAUGUGGCAUGUAGCGGUGAAAUGCAUAGAUAUGCCAUAGAACACCAAUUGCGAAGGC
This 200-nucleotide ribosomal RNA is filed under the name uncultured bacterium. RNAcentral describes it as "partial 16S ribosomal RNA". It matches the Rfam family "Bacterial small subunit ribosomal RNA", at positions 524 to 722 of the family's 1533-position model. The record is from RNAcentral.